This is a long non-coding RNA of Monomorium pharaonis (pharaoh ant), 864 nucleotides long. RefSeq lists it as uncharacterized. The record is from RefSeq and is a predicted model, not a curated record. The transcript is spliced from 4 exons. Lineage: Eukaryota; Metazoa; Arthropoda; Insecta; Hymenoptera; Formicidae.
UAGUUUUUAAUCAUGACAGAUAAAAAAGAAAGUUUUCUGUAGAUUGUAAUUUUUUUAUUUCAUUAAUCAUUAAUAAAAAUAAUAAAACUCGUCUUUUUUAUCAAUUGGUUAUUAGAACAUUUAUGUCAUAAUGUUAAUUAUCAUGUAAUUUCGAUAAUGAUUAAAUAAUAAACACAUAAAUAGCAAAAAAUGUGGAACGCUUCACGAUUUUGCGUGUCAUCCUUGCGCAGGGGCCAUGCUAAUCUUCUCUGUAUCGUUCCAAUUUUAGUAUAUGUACUGCCGAAGCAAGUACGAUGAAGUUUUUCUACAACAUUGCUUAUAUACGGAAUGAUACAUUCAAGUGUACUAACGAGAAAAACAGAAAGUUACAUAUUCUCAUCGUCUAGCGGUGAAAUUAGGCACUACGUUCGCGACAUAACCUCAAGAAUAGGCGUGGAGUAUCAAAUGCUGUAGAUAACAUCUUACAAGUAAAAAUAGGAAAUUAUUUAAUGAUUAAUCAAAUAUAAAAUUACUUUUGAGAAAUCUUUAUGCAAUGAAUUUAAUUUGAAGAUAUUAUGAGAGUUUUAUAAUUCAGGAAAUUAUAAAAUCUAAAAAGAGGUUUAAAACGAUCUAUUGGGAAUUAUGCAAUUGAAAGGCUGGAGAUAUGAGAAAAUUCGAGAACGAGCUCUUUCAAACAGACCUACAUAAUUUAACUAUAAAAUUUAUUUGGAAGUUUCUAUAAAAUUGAACAUGUUAAUUACAUGUUAUGUAAAGUUUCUUUCUGUACUCUUAGGAAAAUUUUGUCUAAAGGAUAGGUAUUAGAAACAGAUAUAAAAUUAAAAUGACUUGUUUGUUGUACAAAAUAAAUGUUAAUAUUUAUUAAAA